GGCUCUAAGGAUACAGUACCUCCUGCGUGCAAAUCCUUUAUCAGGAACUAUGACAAAGGAGCAACUUCGUCAAAGAAAGGUCUGCCAAUCACAUUUUGAGGAUAAAUAAAUCUAAAACAAUCUAUUGGUUAUGACAAUGAUGAAUGGAUGUCCUAUUUUUUAUUUAUCCAUGAAGAAAAUAAUAACAUCUCGGCGACCAUCCAAGCUGUUGCUGAUCAGGUCAUCCAGUAAGUUAAACUGCUAAUAGAGAUAACUUCAAUUCAAUGUUGUUGCCAGAUAAUGCUGUGAGUGAAGAAACUAUAUCCUGCCAUCUACAUCAGAGCCACAUCUGUCAUUAUGGAUAAUAUUAUUGCUGCGUCCUAAGGUUCAGCUUGCAAAUAAACCCAUCAAGCAGAGGCGGUACACACAAACAAAAGGUGGACUCUUUGGUUUUUUUAAAACGGAGCCCGAAAGCGUAUGAGCUAUUGCGCCACAUAUUUAUUUUGCCUAGUCAACGAUCAAGAAAAUGAAGGUAUUGAGUGAAAAAACUGCCGCAAUGAUACAGCCCCAAAUUUGAUUCCGGCCCAGUGUAUAGUUUUUUUAACUAAAGUUUUUUGUUAUUUUUGCCUCAAGAAUGUACUUAUUGUGAAUUUCUUUGUUAAUGGCUGUAUAGUUUUACUUGAGUCAAAGAAAAUCGUAGUUGAUGUAUAAAAAAAUAAUUUAUAAAUCUAUUAGGGUACAUUUUACUGUCGUCUUUUUUUUCUUAGAAACUUGCAGUAGAUUAUUCACUUUUUUGGAAACUGAUAAUUACUUGUUAAUACCAUAAUUUAUUA
This is a long non-coding RNA of Ostrinia nubilalis (European corn borer), 812 nucleotides long. RefSeq lists it as uncharacterized. The record is from RefSeq and is a predicted model, not a curated record. The transcript has 6 exons. Lineage: Eukaryota; Metazoa; Arthropoda; Insecta; Lepidoptera; Crambidae.